GGGAGUUUAGCUCAGCUGGGAGAGCAUCUGCCUUACAAGCAGGGGGUCAUAGGUUCAAGUCCUGUAACUCCCACCA
Molecule: transfer RNA, 76 nt
Filed under: Clostridiaceae bacterium
Lineage: Bacteria; Bacillati; Bacillota; Clostridia; Eubacteriales; Clostridiaceae
Description: tRNA-Val
Rfam family: tRNA
About the family: Transfer RNA (tRNA) molecules are approximately 80 nucleotides in length. Their secondary structure includes four short double-helical elements and three loops (D, anti-codon, and T loops).
Source: RNAcentral